CAGUAGUCACGAGUUUGAUCCUGGCUACAGAACGACGCUGGCGGCAUGCCUAACACAUGCAAGUCGAACGAACCCUUCGGGGUUAGUGGCGCACGGGUGCGUAACGCGUGGGGAUCUGCCCAAAGGUUCGGAAUAACUCAGAGAAAUUUGAGCUAAUACCGGAUAAUGUCUUCGGACCAAAGAUUUAUUGCCUUUGGAUGAACCCGCGUAGGAUUAGCUUGUUGGUGGGGUAAAGGCCUACCAAGGCGACGAUCCUUAGCUGGUCUGAGAGGAUGAUCAGCCACACUGGGACUGAGACACGGCCCAGACUCCUACGGGAGGCAGCAGUGGGGAAUAUUGGACAAUGGGCGAAAGCCUGAUCCAGCAAUGCCGCGUGAGUGAUGAAGGCCUUAGGGUUGUAAAGCUCUUUUACCAGGGAUGAUAAUGACAGUACCUGGAGAAUAAGCUCCGGCUAACUCCGUG
Molecule: ribosomal RNA, 462 nt
Filed under: uncultured bacterium
Lineage: Bacteria
Description: bacterial SSU rRNA
Rfam family: Bacterial small subunit ribosomal RNA
Source: RNAcentral